This is a long non-coding RNA of Austrofundulus limnaeus, 1030 nucleotides long. RefSeq lists it as uncharacterized. The record is from RefSeq and is a predicted model, not a curated record. The transcript is spliced from 4 exons. NCBI's taxonomy places the organism in Eukaryota, Metazoa, Chordata, Actinopteri, Cyprinodontiformes, Rivulidae.
GCAGAGGCUCAUUUCGGGUGGAUCAUUGGUCCUCAUUUUUUGUACAAUUAUGUGGACAUUCAUCUGUUCUGUGUUAUCAGGAAUCAAGGUCCGGUGAGGCUCGCUUCAUAAACAUGGGUCGUCUGUCAACUGAGAAACGUUAAAAUAAGGAAGCUGCAGGAAAAUGAGAAGCACCCCGAGCAUCACAAGACAUUCAGAAGACAACACCCUUCACCAACUAAAGAAACCAGGCAAAUGAAUCCUGAAACGGAGGUUAGCCUCCUCCACCCUCCCGUCCCCACUUUUGUUGUGAAAGAGAAUAAACAUCUGAGAACAGCUGGAGAAAACCUCCGAGCGGCUUGCUGCAGAGAAAUGUCCCCGUGUGGCGAGCUUCAUCUGCAGAAUGACGACCUGAUGGGAGCCGCGGCCCCGCUCUUACUCUGAAAUGUUUCAAACUUUAUUCAAAUGUUUCUGUGGUUUAAUAAAUGUUUUUGAAAGAGUAAUAAACAUUUCCUAAAAGUUCAACAUAAAUCUAUUCAGUACUUUUGAGAUACAAUCCUGAGAAUGCAGCUGGMUAACUUUAGCAAAACUUCCCCAUUGCCAGUGAAACCAUAAAAACAUCUAAUCACCACGGGCAGAAAGGCUCCGAGUGGCUUCCUGUGAUGAUCUGAUCAGAGCUGAAACAGCCUUUAGGAGACCUGGUACCAAAACUGCCUGAUAGAGGGACAAAAACUGURCAACAUACUCAAAGUCCAACAUUUUCUGUGCUGUACUUUGACUUUAGUGAACAAAAAACACUCCUUAAGCACUUUCUGAGCUGAUGAACGACAGUUCACACAACCACCGUCCAGAUGUCAGUAAUCCGUGUGCACAGAUUGCAGAAACUGUGAGCACAGUUUAGUAAUCUGUGCUCAUAGUUUAGUAAUCCGAGCUCACAGUUUAGUAAUCCGUGCGCACGGAUUUCCAGCGGCUGUUUUUAUUUUCUCCCACUGACCCCUCACGGCUCCGUAGUUUGAAACUAACAAAUUAUUUGAAACUGAAAAAAAAAAUA